CCCAAACAAAGUAAACCCUCAAGCUGUCUGCUGCCUGCUUCUGUUCCGUUUAAGUGUUUAAAUAGACACUCUAACCAACAAAGUCACUUUAUCUUAAUGACAGCAACCUAGGGGUACUUCCUCAUUGAAGACCUGCAAUAAUGGAAUGUCUUCAUAUUUUGCAUCAUCAAGCACUGUUUAAGGACUCUGAGCACUGUGAAUGCUUCUGACACAGAAUAACUGAAAACACAGCAUUACCGUGCAUGCACAGUAGGUCUCAAAUUCUUCUUUUUU
Pelobates cultripes (western spadefoot toad) is the source of this 273-nucleotide non-coding RNA. The record is from the annotation of a GenBank genome assembly. Lineage: Eukaryota; Metazoa; Chordata; Amphibia; Anura; Pelobatidae.